This 439-nucleotide ribosomal RNA is filed under the name uncultured bacterium. RNAcentral describes it as "partial 16S ribosomal RNA". It matches the Rfam family "Bacterial small subunit ribosomal RNA", at positions 338 to 795 of the family's 1533-position model. The record is from RNAcentral.
CCUACGGGAGGCAGCAGUAGGGAAUAUUGCACAAUGGGGGAAACCCUGAUGCAGCAACGCCGCGUGGGGGAAGAAGCUCCUCGGAGCGUAAAGCCCUGUCGUCAGAGAAGAAAAUGACGGUACCUAAAGAAUAAGCACCGGCUAACUACGUGCCAGCAGCCGCGGUAAUACGGGGGGGGCAAGCGUUAUCCGGAUUUACUGGGUGUAAAGGGGGCGCAGGCGGGUAUGCAAGCCAGGAGUGAAAGCCCGGGGCCAACCCCUGGACUGCAUUUGGAACUGGUUUGCUGGAGUGAAGGAGGGGUAGGUGGAAUUCUUGGUGUAGCGGUGAAAUGCGUAGAUAUCAGGAGGAAUACUGGUGGCGAAGGCGGCCUGCUGGAACGUAACUGACGUUGAGGCGCGAAAGCGUGGGGAGCAAACAGGAUUAGAUACCCCGGUAGUC